AUAGCAGAAAGGUAGCCUACUUUGCAACAACAGUUUGAGUUUCUCUGAGGUUUUUUUUGUUUGUACAAUUGAAUGCACCAUUAGGUCGACAACGUGUAUAUGAAAGGACAACGAAGCCCCGUCGGAGCCGGAGCUCACGUGCUUUACCUUCGUUUUUUGUGUACAUAGCUAACUCACUCACGUGGAAGGCAAUGAGACGUUGCCACACCGCGGUGACUUCAGGGAAGCAGGAGGAUUUCUCUCUCCGUCAUCUCCAACGCCGGCAGUAGCCAUGGUGAUUGGAAUAGUCAAGCUACAGGCUACCGAUAUAAAAAUGGCCAAAUGCUGCCCCUUUGAUAGGGAGGGACAUUCCAGGCAUCUCUCAGAUGUCUGUGCUGCUUUGCGGUAACCCAACUCCGGUUGAAAGCAUUUUCCUGGGAAAAAGAGGCGGCUCGCAAUCGACGGGGCACAGGGACACCUGCAGCUCUGGAGCAGCGGCGACUACAGAUCAGCCCUGGACGUGACUCAACACCGAACCGAACACACAAAUACACACACACACACACACACCCUGACACUUGCAUUCACACAGAAAAAAGUACUCCAGCACUCGCCUAUGCUUCCACACACGUAUGGUACAUUCCACUCUGCUACUUCCCCAACCUUUCCAACUGCCUCUCUGGUUCAUUCAGAUGAUGUCCAUGCUGAUGAGUUUAUUAAGGUGAAAAUGUGGACAGCUGCUCUCAUAAACCCUGUCAUCAAUUUGUCUCAGUCAUUAAAAUUGCCUGUAAUUGGC
Etheostoma spectabile (orangethroat darter) is the source of this 775-nucleotide long non-coding RNA. RefSeq lists it as uncharacterized. The record is from RefSeq and is a predicted model, not a curated record. The transcript is spliced from 2 exons. NCBI's taxonomy places the organism in Eukaryota, Metazoa, Chordata, Actinopteri, Perciformes, Percidae.